AAUAAUAAUAAUAAUAAUAAUAAUAACAAUGCUAGGCUAACAUUCUACAGUCACUUUCAAAAAGGUUGACAAUAAUCCAAGCAUAGCUCUCGCGCUCCAAAAUUUGUCAAUUUCAAACAGCAAAGGCAUCCUCUUCCAAAGAAUGAACACAUUCCAGCUAAAAACGUCAACUUUCCUGCAAAGCCUUCAUCAAAUACAAUCGGCUGAAGCUCUGCCCAGUAACCCCGUUUAUUUGGUUGCAAAAGUUUGAGAUUUGAUUGGUAAUGAGGAAGCUAUCCAACCGUGAUGGCUCAGGUAUUGGCUUAAAAAUGGGGUUUGAAGGAUCCUCCUCAGGCAGAGGCUCUUCUCCUUCCUGCAGCUUUACGUGCCAUGUUCUCUGACCUUCUCUUCUGAAGCCAUGCUUGUUGCUGAGCUUGCUGGCGUGCUGGCGUGAAAGAUUCCGAUAGUAAAAUUGGAACUUCUGCUGUUCAAUUGACAAUUCAUCCAUGCACUCAAUCAAAAAUUCAACAUUUCUCUCCAUAAAUGGAUUGGUUGAUAAUUGCAAACGAUCAUAAUCACACUG
RNAcentral lists this unclassified non-coding RNA (562 nucleotides) under Hevea brasiliensis (rubber tree). The record is from RNAcentral. Lineage: Eukaryota; Viridiplantae; Streptophyta; Magnoliopsida; Malpighiales; Euphorbiaceae.